This 769-nucleotide ribosomal RNA is filed under the name uncultured Inocybe. RNAcentral describes it as "partial 28S ribosomal RNA". It matches the Rfam family "Eukaryotic large subunit ribosomal RNA", at positions 216 to 962 of the family's 3401-position model. Lineage: Eukaryota; Fungi; Basidiomycota; Agaricomycetes; Agaricales; Cortinariaceae. The record is from RNAcentral.
GAAUCCCGUCUUUGGCACGGAUGUACCAGGGCUUUCGUGAUGCGCUCUCGAAGAGUCGAGUUGUUUGGGAAUGCAGCUCAAAAUGGGUGGUGAACUCCAUCUAAAGCUAAAUAUUGGCGAGAGACCGAUAGCGAACAAGUACCGUGAGGGAAAGAUGAAAAGCACUUUGGAAAGAGAGUGAAACAGUACGUGAAAUUGCUGAAAGGGAAACGCUUCAAGUCAGUCACGUCGGCUAGAAAUCAGCCUUGCUUCUGCUUGGUGUACUUUCUGGUUGACGGGUCAGCAUCAAUUUUGACCAUUGGAUAAGGUCUUUGGGAAUGUGGCAUCUUUUUUUAGAUGUGUUAUAGCCCAUUGUCGCAUACGGUGGUUGGGAUUGAGGAACUCAGCAUGCCCUGCAAGGGGCCAGGUUUCGACCAUGUUCAUGCUUAGGAUGCUGGCAUAAUGGCUUCAAUCGACCCGUCUUGAAACACGGACCAAGGAGUCUAACAUGCCUGCGAGUGUUUGGGUGGAAAACCCAUGCGCGCAAUGAAAGUGAAAGGUUGAGAUCUCUGUAAAGGGAGAGCAUCGACGCCCAGACCAGACCUUCUGUGACGGAUCUGCGGUAGAGCAUGUAUGUUGGGACCCGAAAGAUGGUGAACUAUGCCUGAAUAGGGUGAAGCCAGAGGAAACUCUGGUGGAGGCUCGUAGCGAUUCUGACGUGCAAAUCGAUCGUCAAAUUUGGGUAUAGGGGCGAAAGACUAAUCGAACCAUCUAGUAGCUGGUUCCUGCC